AGGAUGUGACAUUGAUAUAUGAUGCCUACAUAUGAAGUAGUACCCUCAAAGGGCACAGAUUGCAUUGGGAGCAAAAGUAUCAGUUGUGACAAAAGGAGUGAGCACACCGUGUCCCUCUGAGGCAACAUCAAAGACAUGAGACAUGCAGACAACAGGAGCACCUGUUAGAAGCCUGGAAAAUGAUUUCACCAAAGAGCUAUAUAAAUGUGAUCAGACCAAAAGUAUCCAAGGAACUUAAUUCCUAGGAAAAAAACCCAAAGACAGGAUCUCCAUAUGUAGUUCAGGCUGGUCUUGAACUUG
Molecule: long non-coding RNA, 300 nt
Organism: Chinchilla lanigera (long-tailed chinchilla)
Lineage: Eukaryota; Metazoa; Chordata; Mammalia; Rodentia; Chinchillidae
Exons: 3
Source: RefSeq, a predicted model, not a curated record